GAUGAACGCUGGCGGCGUGCCUAAUACAUGCAAGUCGAGCGAACAGAUAAGGAGCUUGCUCCUUUGACGUUAGCGGCGGACGGGUGAGUAACACGUGGAUAACCUACCUAUAAGACUGGGAUAACUUCGGGAAACCGGAGCUAAUACCGGAUAACAUAUUGAACCGCAUGGUUCAAUAGUGAAAGGCGGCUUUGCUGUCACUUAUAGAUGGAUCCGCGCCGUAUUAGCUAGUUGGUAAGGUAACGGCUUACCAAGGCAACGAUACGUAGCCGACCUGAGAGGGUGAUCGGCCACACUGGAACUGAGACACGGUCCAGACUCCUACGGGAGGCAGCAGUAGGGAAUCUUCCGCAAUGGGCGAAAGCCUGACGGAGCAACGCCGCGUGAGUGAUGAAGGUCUUCGGAUCGUAAAACUCUGUUAUCAGGGAAGAACAAAUGUGUAAGUAACUGUGCACAUCUUGACUGUACCUGAUCAGAAAGCCACGGCUAACUACGUG
This 497-nucleotide ribosomal RNA is filed under the name uncultured bacterium. Its description in RNAcentral is "partial 16S ribosomal RNA". It matches the Rfam family "Bacterial small subunit ribosomal RNA", at positions 28 to 507 of the family's 1533-position model. The record is from RNAcentral.